CCUGACGCAGCACCGCCACGUGAGUGAGGAAGGUUUUCGGACCGUAAAGCUCUGUCGAGCGGGAAGAAAUGUAUCAUGGCUAAUAUCCAUGGUAUUUGACGGUACCGCUAAAGGAAGCACCGGCUAACUCCGUGCCAGCAGCCGCGGUAAUACGGGGGGUGCAAGCGUUGUUCGGAAUUAUUGGGCGUAAAGAGCGUGUAGGCGGCUGAAUAAGUCAGAUGUGAAAUCCCUGGGCUUAACCCAGGAAGUGCAUUUGAAACUAUUCGGCUUGAGUAGGGGAGAGGAAAGUGGAAUUCCUGGUGUAGAGGUGAAAUUCGUAGAUAUCAGGAGGAACACCGGUGGCGAAGGCGACUUUCUGGCCCUAUACUGACGUUGAGACGCGAGAGCGUGGGUAGCAAACAGGAUUAGAUACCCUGGUAGUCCACGCUGUAAACGAUGUUCACUAGGUGUUGGGGGUAUUGACCCUCUCAGUGCCGCAGCUAACGCAUUAAGUGAACCGCCUGGGGAGUACGGUCGCAAGAUUAAAACUCAAAGGAAUUGACGGGGGCCCGCACAAGCGGUGGAGCAUGUGGUUUAAUUCGAUGCAACUUCGAAGAACCUUACCUAGGCUUGACAUCCCAGGAAUUCCGUGGAAACACGGAAGUGCCUUCCGGGGAACCUGGAGACAGGUGCUGCAUGGCUGUCGUCAGCUCGUGUCGUGAGAUGUUGGGUUAAGUCCCGCAACGAGCGCAACCCUUAUCUUUAAUUGCCAGCAUUCAGUUGGGCACUUUAAAGAGACUGCCGGUGUUAAACCGGAGGAAGGUGGGGAUGACGUCAAGUCCUCAUGGCCUUUAUGCUUAGGGCUACACACGUGCUACAAUGGGUGGUACAAAGAGAAGCCAACUCGCGAGAGCGCGCAAAUCUCAAAAUAUGUCUUAUCCUCAGUCCGGAUUGGAGUCUGCAACCCGACUCCAUGAAGUUGGAAUCGCUAGUAAUCGCGGAUCAGCAUGCCGCGGUGAAUACGUCCCCGGGCCUUGUACACACCGCCCGUCACACCCGGAAAAUCGAUUUGCACCAUAAGUNUGGGGCUAACUCUAUUAUANAGGAGGCAGGCCCCAC
This 1098-nucleotide ribosomal RNA is filed under the name uncultured bacterium. RNAcentral's name for it is "bacterial SSU rRNA". It matches the Rfam family "Bacterial small subunit ribosomal RNA", at positions 382 to 1460 of the family's 1533-position model. The record is from RNAcentral.